This 585-nucleotide long non-coding RNA is filed under the name Capsicum annuum. RNAcentral's name for it is "long non-coding RNA (CANN_LNC000552)". The record is from RNAcentral. Lineage: Eukaryota; Viridiplantae; Streptophyta; Magnoliopsida; Solanales; Solanaceae.
CGAAAAUGGGGGCCGGUGGUCGUAUGUCUGCUCCAAACGGCAAGACUGAAGAAAAGACAAACCCUCUUCAAAAGGUGCCAACCUCAAAGCCUCCUUUCUCCGUUGGUGAUGUCAAGAAAGCCAUUCCACCUCACUGCUUUCAGAGGUCUCUUGUUCGCUCGUUCUCCUAUGUUGUGUAUGACCUCAUUCUCGUCGCCAUCAUGUACUACGUCGCCACCACUUACAUCAACCUCCUUCCAUCCCCGUAUAGCUACAUUGCAUGGCCUAUUUACUGGAUCUGCCAGGGUUGUGUUUGCACUGGUAUUUGGGUUAUCGCCCAUGAAUGUGGCCACCAUGCCUUCAGUGAUUACCAAUUGGUUGAUGACACCGUUGGGCUUAUCCUUCACUCUGCUCUGAUGGUGCCGUACUUCUCUUGGAAAUAUAGUCAUCGGCGCCAUCACUCCAACACUGGCUCCCUCGAGCGUGAUGAGGUCUUUGUGCCUAAGCCUAAAUCCCAGCUCGGAUGGUAUUCCAAGUACUUGAACAAUCCUCCUGGCAGGGUUAUCACACUCACCAUCACCCUCACUCUUGGUUGGCCGUUGUACU